Molecule: ribosomal RNA, 253 nt
Filed under: uncultured bacterium
Lineage: Bacteria
Description: partial 16S ribosomal RNA
Rfam family: Bacterial small subunit ribosomal RNA
Source: RNAcentral
UACGUAGGCAGCGAGCGUUGUUCGGAGUUACUGGGCGUAAAGCGUGCGUAGGCGGUUUUUUAAGUUUGGUGUGAAAUCCCCCGGCUUAACUGGGAGGGUGCGCCGAAGACUGGAAGGCUAGAGUAUGGGAGAGGUAAGCGGAAUUCCUGGUGUAGCGGUGAAAUGCGUAGAUAUCAGGAGGAACACCUGCGGUGUAGACGGCUUACUGGACCAUAACUGACGCUGAGGCACGAAAGCGUGGGUAGCAAACAGG